UAAAGAAAUUUGACGGAAGGGCACCACCAGGAGUGGAGCAUGCGGCUUAAUUUGACUCAACACGGGGAAACUCACCAGGUCCAGACACAAUAAGGAUUGACAGAUUGAGAGCUCUUUCUUGAUUUUGUGGGUGGUGGUGCAUGGCCGUUCUUAGUUGGUGGAGUGAUUUGUCUGCUUAAUUGCGAUAACGAACGAGACCUUAACCUGCUAAAUAGCUCGACUAGCUUUGGCUGGUUGCUAGCUUCUUAGAGGGACUAUCGGCUCAAGCCGAUGGAAGUCUGAGGCAUUAACAGGUCUGUGAUGCCGUUAGAUGUUUUGGGCCGCACGCGCGCUACACUGACAGAGCCAACGAGUUUCCUCCUUGGUCGAAAGACCUGGGUAAUCUUGUUAAACUCUGUCGUGCUGGGGAUAGAGCAUUGUCAAUUAUUGCUCUUCAACGAGGAAUUCCUAGUAAGCGCAAGUCAUCAGCUUGCGCUGAUUACGUCCCUGCCCUUUGUACACACCGCCCGUCGCUACUACCGAUUGAAUGGCUAAGUGAGGCUUUCGGACUGGCCCGGGGAGAGUGGUAACACUCACCCUGGGCCGGAAAGUUGUCCAAACUUGGUCAUUUAGAGGAAGUAAAAGUCGUAACAAGGUUUCCGUAGGUGAACCUGCGGAAGGAUCAUUA
RNAcentral lists this non-coding RNA (667 nucleotides) under Blumeria hordei DH14. RNAcentral's name for it is "Blumeria graminis f. sp. hordei DH14 Eukaryotic small subunit ribosomal RNA". It matches the Rfam family "Eukaryotic small subunit ribosomal RNA", at positions 1145 to 1831 of the family's 1831-position model. The record is from Rfam by way of RNAcentral. Lineage: Eukaryota; Fungi; Ascomycota; Leotiomycetes; Helotiales; Erysiphaceae.